AGAGUUUGAUCCUGGCUCAGGACGAACGCUGGCGGCGUGCUUAACACAUGCAAGUCGAACGGAGCACCCUUGAAAGAGUUUUCGGACAAUGGAGAGGAAUGCUUAGUGGCGGACUGGUGAGUAACGCGUGAGGAACCUGCCUUCCAGAGGGGGACAACAGUUGGAAACGACUGCUAAUACCGCAUGACACAUUUGAAUCGCAUGGUUUGAAUGUCAAAGAUUUAUCGCUGGAAGAUGGCCUCGCGUCUGAUUAGCUAGUAGGCGGGGUAACGGCCCACCUAGGCGACGAUCAGUAGCCGGACUGAGAGGUUGACCGGCCACAUUGGGACUGAGAUACGGCCCAGACUCCUACGGGAGGCAGCAGUGGGGAAUAUUGGGCAAUGGGCGCAAGCCUGACCCAGCAACGCCGCGUGAAGGAAGAAGGCUUUCGGGUUGUAAACUUCUUUAAGAGGGAAGAGCAGAAGACGGUACCUCUUGAAUAAGCCACGGCUAACUACGUA
RNAcentral lists this ribosomal RNA (500 nucleotides) under uncultured Oscillibacter sp. RNAcentral describes it as "bacterial SSU rRNA". It matches the Rfam family "Bacterial small subunit ribosomal RNA", at positions 8 to 507 of the family's 1533-position model. Lineage: Bacteria; Bacillati; Bacillota; Clostridia; Eubacteriales; Oscillospiraceae. The record is from RNAcentral.